GACGGGACCGCACAAGCGGUGGAUGAUGUGGUUUAAUUCGAUGCAACGCGAAAACCUUACCCACCUUUGACAUGUACGGAACCCUUUAGAGAUAGAGGGGUGCUCGAAAGAGAGCCGUAACACAGGUGCUGCAUGGCUGUCGUCAGCUCGUGUCGUGAGAUGUUGGGUUAAGUCCCGCAACGAGCGCAACCCUUGUCAUUAGUUGCUACAUUCAGUUGGGCACUCUAGCGAGACUGCCGGUAAUAAAACCGGAGGAAGGUGGGGGAUGACGUCGAGUCCUCAUGGCCCUUAUAGGUGGGGCUACACACGUCAUACAAUGGAUGGUACAAAGGGUCGCCAACCCGCGAGGGGGAGCCAAUCCCAUAAAGCCAUUCGUAGUCCGGAUCGCAGUCUGCAACUCGACUGCGUGAAGUCGGAAUCGCUAGUAAUCGUGGAUCAGAAUGUCACGGUGAAUACGUUCCCGGGUCUU
Molecule: ribosomal RNA, 469 nt
Filed under: uncultured Acidovorax sp.
Lineage: Bacteria; Pseudomonadati; Pseudomonadota; Betaproteobacteria; Burkholderiales; Comamonadaceae
Description: bacterial SSU rRNA
Rfam family: Bacterial small subunit ribosomal RNA
Source: RNAcentral